UAGGGAAUCUUCCGCAAUGGGCGAAAGCUUGACGGAGCAACGCCGCGUGAGUGAUGAAGGUCUUCGGAUCGUAAAACUCUGUUAUUAGGGAAGAACAAAUGUGUAAGUAACUAUGCACGUCUUGACGGUACCUAAUCAGAAAGCCACGGCUAACUACGUGCCAGCAGCCGCGGUAAUACGUAGGUGGCAAGCGUUAUCCGGAAUUAUUGGGCGUGAAGCGCGCGUAGGCGGUUUUUUAAGUCUGAUGUGAAAGCCCACGGCUCAACCGUGGAGGGUCAUUGGAAACUGGAAAACUUGAGUGCAGAAGAGGAAAGUGGAAUUCCAUGUGUAGCGGUGAAAUGCGCAGAGAUAUGGAGGAACACCAGUGGCGAAGGCGACUUUCUGGUCUGUAACUGACGCUGAUGUGCGAAAGCGUGGGGAUCAAACAGG
RNAcentral lists this ribosomal RNA (429 nucleotides) under Actinomycetes bacterium. Its description in RNAcentral is "Actinobacteria bacterium partial 16S ribosomal RNA". It matches the Rfam family "Bacterial small subunit ribosomal RNA", at positions 355 to 776 of the family's 1533-position model. Lineage: Bacteria; Bacillati; Actinomycetota; Actinomycetes. The record is from RNAcentral.